CCUACGGGCGGCAGCAGUCGAGAAUCAUUCACAAUGGGGGAAACCCUGAUGGUGCGACGCCGCGUGGGGGAAUGAAGGUCUUCGGAUUGUAAACCCCUGUCAUGUGGGAGCAAAUUAAAAAGAUAGUACCACAAGAGGAAGAGACGGCUAACUCUGUGCCAGCAGCCGCGGUAAUACAGAGGUCUCAAGCGUUGUUCGGAAUCACUGGGCGUAAAGCGUGCGUAGGCUGUUUCGUAAGUCGUGUGUGAAAGGCGCGGGCUCAACCCGCGGACGGCACAUGAUACUGCGAGACGAGAGGAAUGGAGGGGGAACCGGAAUUCUCGGUGUAGCAGUGAAAUGCGUAGAUAUCGGGAGGAACACUCGUGGCGAAGGCGGGUUCCUGGACAUUAACUGACGCUGAGGCACGAAGGCCAGGGGAGCGAAAGGGAUUAGAUACCCCUGUAGUC
RNAcentral lists this ribosomal RNA (446 nucleotides) under uncultured bacterium. RNAcentral's name for it is "partial 16S ribosomal RNA". It matches the Rfam family "Bacterial small subunit ribosomal RNA", at positions 338 to 795 of the family's 1533-position model. The record is from RNAcentral.